Molecule: long non-coding RNA, 274 nt
Organism: Cyprinus carpio carpio
Lineage: Eukaryota; Metazoa; Chordata; Actinopteri; Cypriniformes; Cyprinidae
Source: Ensembl
CCUUGCUUGUGGCUAUUAAAGAGGAUUCGAGGAGCCACUCAGCGGAGUGUGAAAUUACACCUGUUCGCUGUUUGCACACACUCUCGUAUCUGCAUGAGCCUAAAAUCACCAUCAGAAUUGUAUUCAAAUACCUCCAUGAGGCAGCCAGUGACAUGUGAAGGUCAGAAUUCAUUUACGAAGAGAAGAUCCCCAGUGCUGUUUAUCAAGUUGAGGGAAGAGUGUAGCGAAGGAAAUAUUCUGCACUGAAGUUACGAGAAGACUUCUACUCUUUCAG